Molecule: ribosomal RNA, 254 nt
Filed under: uncultured bacterium
Lineage: Bacteria
Description: partial 16S ribosomal RNA
Rfam family: Bacterial small subunit ribosomal RNA
Source: RNAcentral
UACGAAGGGAGCUAGCGUUGUUCGGAUUUAUUGGGCGUAAAGAGCUCGUAGGUGGCUUAGUAAGUCGGGUGUGAAACCUCCAGGCUCAACCUGGAGACGCCACCCGAUACUGCUAUAGCUUGAGUCCGGUAGGGGAGCGUGGAAUUCCUGGUGUAGCGGUGAAAUGCGCAGAUAUCAGGAGGAACACCAGCGGCGAAGGCGGCGCUCUGGGCCGGUACUGACACUGAGGAGCGAAAGCGUGGGGAGCAAACAGG